Molecule: transfer RNA, 71 nt
Filed under: Thermoplasmata archaeon
Lineage: Archaea; Methanobacteriati; Thermoplasmatota; Thermoplasmata
Also listed under: 2 other names
Description: tRNA-Cys
Rfam family: tRNA
About the family: Transfer RNA (tRNA) molecules are approximately 80 nucleotides in length. Their secondary structure includes four short double-helical elements and three loops (D, anti-codon, and T loops).
Source: RNAcentral
GGGUGGGUAACCUAGAGGCCAGGUGGCGGACUGCAGAUCCGCAUACGCGGGUUCAAAUCCCGCCCCGCCCU